This 490-nucleotide long non-coding RNA is filed under the name Solanum lycopersicum (tomato). RNAcentral's name for it is "long non-coding RNA (SLYC_LNC000983)". The record is from RNAcentral. Lineage: Eukaryota; Viridiplantae; Streptophyta; Magnoliopsida; Solanales; Solanaceae.
UUUAAAUGUUUAAACAAAAUGAAAUAUGUUUUCCAAUAUGAAAUUUUGUUUUAAAAUUAUAUUUCAGAUUAAAAAAAGAAAAAAAAAGGAUAGGUCUUUGCCGACGCUAGUCUUUUUCCAUACAAGUCUUCUGCCAGGCGUAAAGGCCGCGUGUAUACACAGAAUCAACACCAUCUGUACACUGUAUUCACAGUUUUUUCUGAAAAAAAUCAACACCCUUUUCACCAAAAAUCAAACUUUAUUGUACAAAAAUCCUUCUUAACUAGUUAAGAAGAGCCCCUUUUGGUGAAAUUGUUGAAUCACAGAAAAAAAAAGCAGUUGAUUUGGUGGUGUAUUCAAAAUGUUACCUCAAGUGCAGCUUUUGUUCAUGGUGGUGUUCUUGGAAAUGGGGUUGAUUUUGAUGUUUCUGUUCAGAACCCCUUUGAGGAAACUGAUAAUUAUGAGUCUUGAUCGUGUUAAAAGAGGCAGUGGACCGUUGAUUGUUAAAUCU